GGGCAGCAGUGGGGAAUAUUGCACAAUGGGCGAAAGCCUGAUGCAGCCAUGCCGCGUGUGUGAAGAAGGCCUUCGGGUUGUAAAGCACUUUCAGUAGGGAGGAAAGGUUAACGAUUAAUACUCGUUAGCUGUGACGUUACCUACAGAAGAAGGACCGGCUAACUCCGUGCCAGCAGCCGCGGUAAUACGGAGGGUCCGAGCGUUAAUCGGAAUUACUGGGCGUAAAGCGUGCGCAGGCGGUUAUUUAAGCCAGAUGUGAAAGCCCCGGGCUCAACCUGGGAAUUGCAUUUGGAACUGGGUAACUAGAGUCUUGUAGAGGGAGGUAGAAUUUCAGGUGUAGCGGUGAAAUGCGUAGAUAUCUGAAGGAAUACCGGUGGCGAAGGCGGCCUCCUGGACAAAGACUGACGCUCAUGCACGAAAGCGUGGGGAGCAAACAGGAUUAGAUACCCGUGUAGUC
RNAcentral lists this ribosomal RNA (457 nucleotides) under uncultured Shewanella sp. RNAcentral describes it as "bacterial SSU rRNA". It matches the Rfam family "Bacterial small subunit ribosomal RNA", at positions 346 to 795 of the family's 1533-position model. The record is from RNAcentral. Lineage: Bacteria; Pseudomonadati; Pseudomonadota; Gammaproteobacteria; Alteromonadales; Shewanellaceae.